AGCGAACGCUGGCGGCAGGCUUAACACAUGCAUGUCGAGCGGGCGUAGCAAUACGCCAGCGGCAGACGGGUGAGUAACGCGUGGGAACGUACCUUUUGGUUCGGAACAACACAGGGAAACUUGUGCUAAUACCGGAUAAGCCCUUGCGGGGAAAGAUUUAUCGCCGAAAGAUCGGCCCGCGUCUGAUUAGCUAGUUGGUAGGGUAAUGGCCUACCAAGGCGACGAUCAGUAGCUGGUCUGAGAGGAUGAUCAGCCACAUUGGGACUGAGACACGGCCCAAACUCCUACGGGAGGCAGCAGUGGGGAAUAUUGGACAAUGGGGGCAACCUUGAUCCAGCCAUGCCGCGUGAGUGAUGAAGGCCCUAGGGUUGUAAAGCUCUUUUGUGCGGGAAGAUAAUGACGGUACCGCAAGAAUAAGCCCCGGCUAACUUCGUGCCAGCCGCCGCCGUAA
This 451-nucleotide ribosomal RNA is filed under the name uncultured bacterium. Its description in RNAcentral is "partial 16S ribosomal RNA". It matches the Rfam family "Bacterial small subunit ribosomal RNA", at positions 29 to 523 of the family's 1533-position model. The record is from RNAcentral.